This is a long non-coding RNA of Nicotiana attenuata, 1049 nucleotides long. RefSeq lists it as uncharacterized. NCBI's taxonomy places the organism in Eukaryota, Viridiplantae, Streptophyta, Magnoliopsida, Solanales, Solanaceae. The transcript has 4 exons. The record is from RefSeq and is a predicted model, not a curated record.
ACCACGUUGAGAUCUCGCAUUUAUAGUGGUGGAUAGGCCAGGGCCUUUGUUGACCGAGCCAGGGACGGGUUGAACAUCGUCAAUUAUCAGUGAUCGUGCCACUAAUUAAUCGUGAAUUAACUUAAAACGGGAUUAGCCUCGUUAAUUAUCGUGGGGUCGGGUUCUGACCCAUACAAGUAUAUUGCUUGAUUUUUCUUUUUAUAUUUCUUUUCCUUUUGGUACUUUUAGAGUAUCCUUUUUAUAUCUUAUUGUUGUUGUUGAGUAAGGAGGAUACAUAUAUUACAUUAAAUUUGGGCAGGUGAUGUGACUCUCCUUUUCAGCCCCACUUGAACAACAACUUUCAAGAGAGAGCUGCUCUUUAUGGGAUUUCUCCAAAUAGUUCGUCAUCUUAUUGCGCUCACAAGCAGAGCAUAGAGAACAGCAACAUUACUCCAAUGUCAAAGCGCCUACAUGAGGAUUACGCAGAAGCACAUCAUGUAGGUGUACUAAACAAAAGGACAAGAGAAGUGGGCUUUCACGACGUACGCAAACAAAAGAAGUCAGUCAUAGACUAGUAGAUAAUCCCUACUAGACUGCUUUUGUCAAUUGAUUUUGCAGAUUAUGAAGACACAAAUACUUUAUGUAUUGGGGGAAGUCAAAGAGGAAAAAUAACAAAGGACACUGCCUAGUUAUUUGAAGUUUUUGCGGCUAUAAUUGGUGUUAUGUAUUUUCUGCAAUGGACACAUGCAAUGGACUGAGCUAAGCCAUGACAAUAACUGACUCUGACAAAAAAUAAGUUUGAAAAAAAAAACAAAAAAAAAAAAAGUGGGGAAUAAGCAAUAAGUUGAAUGGUCUAUUGGGUAGGGCUAGAAUUUAGGGGACUCAUAGCCAUGUGAUAGCAUUAGUUGAAUAGUGAAUUAUUGUUGUGUUCUCAUGACUAGAUCCAUUGCUCUUUCUUUCUGUGGAUAGAUGUUUCCUGGUUAUAGGGGAAGGAGGAUAUGGAAAGCCACUUCAGUCUUCACUAUGCAAGUGUACAUAUUUUAUUAGUUUAUUUAUGGGCUUUAUUACUU